GGAUAGAUAGGUUAUAACUAAACCUUUAGAUUCAUGCUCUAACUAAGUGAAUACACUCUCUCCA
Molecule: transfer RNA, 64 nt
Filed under: Hoplopleura sp.
Lineage: Eukaryota; Metazoa; Arthropoda; Insecta; Psocodea; Hoplopleuridae
Description: tRNA-Met
Source: RNAcentral